AGACAGAGCGUGAGCGGGGGAGGGGCAGAGAGCGAGGGAGAUGCAGAAUCCGAAGCAGGCUCCGGGCUCCGAGCUGUCAGCACAGAGCCUGAUGCAGGGGUUGACCCCACGAACCUUGAGAUCGUGACUGGAACUGAAGUCGGACACUCCAGUGGCUGAGUCCCCAGGCGCCCCGAGACCAGUUACUUUAACCCCUCCUCACAGAGCAUGUGGGGGCUCCAGGUGCACAACCAGGAACAGGACUCACACCCCAUCCCCCACUCCUGGGUCAUGAUCCCCGGUCUUCAGAUCCAGACGGACCCCAGUGUGCAGGGAUGGCAGUCCUCCCACACCACCUGUGAUCCAAACCCAGAACUCUGGGACUGCAAGAGUUGAGCAGAGAGGGAACAGGCUUGGGGCAGAAGCCACGAGCACCCCAGCAGUGUGGGAUGUCACCUCAGCCUGUGCUCCUGGGAAACCACAGUGAUUAAACAAAUCUGCAGAUGAAAGACCUGAAUGGAGACAGGAAACCAUCCAAACCCUAGAGGAGAACGCAGGAAAAAACCUCUUUGACCUCAGCUGCAGCAAUUUCUUACUCGACACAUCUCCAAAGGCAAGGGAAUUAAAAGCAAAAAUGAACUAUUGGGACCUCAUGAAGAGAAAAAGCUUCUGCACUGCAAAGGAAACAAUCAACAAAACUAAAAGGCAACCAAUGGAAUGGGAAAAGAUAUUUGCAAAUGACAUCGGACAAAGGGCUAGUAUCCAAAAUCUAUAAAGAGCUCACCAAACGCCACACCCAAAAACGGUGAAGAAAUGGGCAGAAAACAUAAAUAGACACUUCUCUAAAGAAGACAUCCAGAUGGCCAACAGGCACAUGAAAAGAUGCUCAGUGUCGCUCCUCAUCAGGGAAAUACAAAUCAAAACCACACUGAGGUACCACCUCAUGCCAGUCAGAGUGGCCAAAAUGAACAAAUCAGGAGACUAUAGAUGCUGGUGAGAAUGUGGAGAAACGGGAACCCUCUUGCACUGUUGGUGGGAAUGCAAAUUGGUGCAGCCGCUCUGGAAAACAGUGUGGAGGUUCCUCCAAAAAUUAAAAAUAGAUCUACCCUAUGACCCAGCAAUAGCACUGCUAGGAAUUUACCCAAGGGAUACAGGAGUGCUGAUGCAUAGGGGCACUUGUACCCCAACGUUUUACAGCAGCACUUUCAACAACAGCCAAAUUAUGGAAAGAGCCUAAAUGUCCAUCAACUGACGAAUGGAUAAAGAAAUUGUGGUUUAUAUACACAAUGGGAAUACUAUGUGGCAAUGAGAAAGAAUGAAAUAUGGCCUUUUGUAGCAACGUGGAUGGAACUGGAGAGUGUUAUGCUAAGUGAAAUAAGUCAUCCAGAGAAAAGAC
Molecule: long non-coding RNA, 1375 nt
Filed under: Felis catus (domestic cat)
Lineage: Eukaryota; Metazoa; Chordata; Mammalia; Carnivora; Felidae
Description: lncRNA (ENSFCAG00000048906.1)
Source: RNAcentral